Long non-coding RNA from Aedes albopictus (Asian tiger mosquito), 5339 nucleotides. RefSeq lists it as uncharacterized. The record is from RefSeq and is a predicted model, not a curated record. NCBI's taxonomy places the organism in Eukaryota, Metazoa, Arthropoda, Insecta, Diptera, Culicidae. The transcript is spliced from 3 exons.
AUAAUAGAAAUCCUCUACAUAGAGAUGAGCGGAAGUUACGUAUGUCGAUUCGGCAACGCUGUUUGUUUUGUUUACAACAGCUGCCAACACUUGCUACAAAGCAAGAUGUUCAAACUUUGUGCGUGACUUCGUUGUGGUUCAAGUUGUUUUGUUUACAUUUUCUAAUUAUGGUAGAAAUUUCUUUCAAAAUGUUGUUGAAAUAGCGGAGCAAUCGAAGAAAUCCGAAAUUUAUUGCAAAAGUGUUACCCUAAUCAUAUCGGCAGAAGUGAAGCAAGAAGUAGCAAUGGAUGUUUUUUCGACAAGUGCAGCAACAAAAGUGUCGUCAUAAGCAUGAGCUUUUGAAAGCAGAAUCAAUAUUUUUUUAUCUUUUUACUAAACUUACAUAUGCCACCAAUUUCUCGAUAUUAAAAAUAAAUAAUUUUAAUUUAUUUAGUUCCGAUUGCAAUACCGUUUAAACGACGCCUUCCUACGAACGAUAAGCAUGUUCAUUUGGCUUACACUUUGACCACAAACUCAUUUACAGACCACUUACUGCGAAGGAAUCCGAUAAAAAAUCAUGGUUCUCGGGAAUAGAAUUUUUCAUGAAGUACUAGCACAUUUCCCUUUAUUUUGAUCACGAUUUCUUCAGCGUGUUCAUCAGGGGCCCCCCUCGUCAUGUAAAUAUUAUUUCCGUCUCUUUCUUUCACAUGUGAAAAUAAGACGUCAAAAUCAGAAACACUGAUAUAAAUAACGAAAUCACUUUCAAUAUAUUUGUUAGCCAAAACACUAACAUUGACCUUAAUUGACUUAAAACGAUAAAUAUUUAACCGUAUUUUAUAGGAAUUCAUGAUGUAUAGUUGAAUUAUUAUGAAGUAGUUGUUUCAUUUUAGAAUUAUCGUCAUCAAAUCACUAUAUAUUCGGUGGCUUGAAAUUGCAUUUUAAAUCAAGCUGCUUUUUCUGCACGGUGCAUAUCCACGUCUUGGUUUGCGCGGCAAAGCGCAUCGCGUAGAAAAACAAAACAAAACACUUUUCUUUCGUCCGACAAAUUCUCGGUUUUACGAAAUUUUUUAAACUUCUCCAACCCGGUUAAAUCUAAUUUCAAGGUCGAUCAGGAAAGCGCUCCAGUUGCUGAAACAGUGCAAAGUGCCCUAGUUCCAUCCCACUGUGGCCGCCGGGUUUUAUGAAGUUCAGCUGAACUGGUCCGAGCAAUUGGUUUACCCCCUACCGCGGAUGUUGGACAUUGGGAUCGGCAAACAAUAAUCCGCGAGGUGCUCAACCUGGGUGAUCUAGGAGAUUCGGAUGUAAUUUGCGUUGGUUUACUUUGGACACAGGAAGCUCGCACCGGGAAGCGCACUUCCAACAGAAAGAUGAGGACGUAUCCGACGUGGAAGAGCUGCUGGACGAAUUGGAACCGGAGGUCUUCCGGAUCCUGACUGGGGUGAAUACGGUGAUGCACAACUGGUUGUCCAUUACAAUGCUGCGUGUGCUGCUAGACCUUCCGAAGGCCCAAAUUGAUGAGGUGCAAACACUCAGCAUAUCCAGUCUAAAGUGCGAGAUGAUAUAAUUAAGUGAACAUAUACUGAUCCGACUCCACACCAAAAUCAAUGUAAAGCAUCAUCAAAUUUCCACCCGGUAGAGUCUCCAGAUUGGGCAACUGUAACAGAACCUUCUGAAAAAAAGUAUUUGAAGGCUCUUCCCGGUGAAUCUGAACUAGCAGUUGAAAUGGCUGAACGUACUGCUGCUAACACUAACAAACACCAAUCAAACAAUCCGGGUGCCACUUGCAAGCUCACCUUCAACUAAACUGCUGCACGCUGAAUCAAAUUCUUACACCGUUCGAGAAGCUGCUUAAAAUCCGGAAGUGGUGUUCAGUGCUGGAGGAAAAGGCUCUGCGCGAAGAGCGGCGCACCGAAGGCACAACCUACAUUUCCCUGCAACUGGGUAAGAAAUUAAAUAGAUUUUAUGUCUUUCAUUUGCACACAUUUGCACUGCGGCUCCGUCAAAGUCUAUUUUUCGUUAAGGUGAAGAUAUGACGAAGCUACAGCUCAAAUUUUCAAGAGCACAAAUCUUGGAUUGAAGAAAUGUCGGAUUGCGUUGAAAAGUUGAUCGAUUUGUUACCCGCUGCUGGUGACUAAUCAAUCAACUUUUCAGCGUAAUACAACAUUCGGUUAUUCAGAUUUGUGCUCUUGAAAAUUUGAGUUGUGGCUUCGUCAUAUCUUCACCUUGAGAGAAUACUAAUUAUUAGUUGCGCUUUCAUAUGUGAAUCCAAAUACACCUAAUUACGACCAGAUUCCCCAUGUUAUUUCAAUGUAUUUGAAUGGAAUCCGCAGCAGUAUUUAACGGGAGCGUGUUGAAAGUAAUGGGUUUGUUUCCCGAUCGGUCCAGGAACUUUUCGUGGUGUAAAUUUCAUUGACUUCCUUGGGCAUGAAGUAUUUUUGUGUCUGUCACACGAUACCUAUACAAUGUAUAUGUAUAUGUAUAGUAUACAUAUGCAAAAUUAUAGUUGUCAGAAGGAAGCUCUCAAUUAAUAACUUUGCACUUCCACAGUUGUUAACUGAAAGCUUCCUCUGCCAUUCAGCAUUAUUUGCCUGCUUUCAGAAAAAGUUUAAUAUAUACUUUAUUAUGCUAUCAAAUAUUUUAGAAGUGUUACAAAUACAUUUCAUUGACCCAGGUAAUAUCAAGAAAAUUGAUAGAUACCCACUACGUUGUUAUUUCGAUUCCAAAAACCUUAUUUUAGGUCAGCUGAUUCUUAUAAUAUUUCCCAAGUACAUGACCACUUCACGCAUUUUGACUAUUUUUUUUUUUUUCAAAACAAGCGGCUUUUCUGACUAAUGUUUUGUCAUCAAUUCAUUGGAUUUAAGAUAAAGCUACAAUCAACCAAAUUGUUUAGAAAAUUUGGAAAUUUACACUGAAAAUACAAGGUGCUCAUUAUGCCCUCCUACUCCUAUCCGUGUAUGGAAAAUCAUGUCAAUUGGUUCAAAAUUGAUGAGUUAUAGCAAAAAACAACCCGUGCAAAAAAUAGAAUCGAGUGUAUAAUGUUCAUUAUACAACUCAUUUCACUUGCAUUGUGAACAUUAUGCAACCCAAAUGAGAUGUAUAAUGAAAAAAAUAAACAGCAAAAAAUGUUGUAGGUAUGUAAUUGUUGCAAAACUCGAUUUUUCAGCACUUUAGUUCCCCGCUUUAACCUUCCGUCAGUCAGUUAUGCACCAGGGUAAACCUCAUGUAACGGGUAGUACUCGCUCUUGUAACGGGUAGUACUUGCUCUUUUUAAAACAUUUCCGACUGGAAACGUCUGCGUGUUAUCAGCACAAGACUGCGUGCAACAGCUAAAGACACAUUUACCUAAUCGAAUUAUGGCCAAUUCCAUAAAUACUUGUUUUGAUUUUAAUGCGUUAAAACAAUAUUGACCACAGCAAUAAUGGGUUCACAGAAUUAUUCCUCAGCUCAACAACACUAAUUUGGGAGCUGUUUGUGGACUUAAAAUCACUAAAUUUGACUGCAUGAAGAAAAUCAGCUCCAACUAACUGUUAAACAGAUUUAGAGCAUAUGUUAAGAAAUAAUCAAAUUAUAGGUUCAAAUGAGCUGAACUACGUAGGUUAAACCUUAAUUCAAUUUAUAUUCUCUUUUCGGGCUGUUUAUCUCAGUCAAGAUAAGAAAAGUACCCCAAACGGGCAGCGGCUGGAAUAUUGCCGCCAACGCUGGUAGCCUAAACGGGCAGUGUAACUAUAAUGCCCCCUGAAAAGUUUGAAGAAUGUCAAACGGGUAGUGGCAACUUUAUUGCCACCAGUGUUUUAAGGCUAAACGGGCAGUGAUAACUUGUGAUCACACCUAGGAAUUUCAUUUCAAAAGUAUCAUUCCAAUGGCUCAAGGGCUUAGAAGAAAUUUAUACAUCCAACUGCAUAGGCAAAUGAAGGAGAGGGAUGACCACGACGCUCUUGUCUCUGGCUAGAAAAAAAAUCCACUUAUCUAAUUUUAAUUCUGUUGCAGGCACACCUGGAGUAGCUACUUCGUCAUCAUUCAUUCAACGACAGAAAUACUGUGGUCCGAGUGGGGUGGAAACAUACUAUGAAUAUGUGUAUUGCUGAGAUUGUAUUCAUAAUUUAAAAUAAAUAAUACUGUGGUGGGUGGGCUGGGGUGUUUCGCUGGACACGAUAACUUACCAUAUCCUUACUGGUUGCAAAUAGAUGCAACCACGUCUAUUGAUAACAUAGGUCACGUCUCCAUAAAUUAGUAUUCUAUAAAAUAAUUCCCAAGUUAUCAUAAUUUAUGGUUAUAAAACUUGAUCUUGUCCUCUCAUGUUGCCAGGUGACGCACAAUACAUUGAGUACACUUCAGUAGAGCAUGGUAUAUUGUUCAAAGUAAAUCAGAAUUUGUAGGUUCACUAAGUCCACCCAAGUUGCUUGGUGAAGCACAAUACGUAAAAUAAGUCAUUUCUCCUAGUAUUUCAUAAGAUAUUAAUCAGAAUUUGUAGUUAGGAAGGUUCACUAAGUGCACCCAAGUUGCUUGGUGAAGCACAAUACGUCCUUUUUUGUAGUUAGUAAGGUUCACUAAGUCCACACAAGUUGCUUGGUGAAGCACAAUACGUUCUCUUUAAAAUAAGACAUUUCUUCUAGUAUUCCAUAAGAUAUUAAUCAGAAUUUGUAGUUAGGAAGGUUCACUAAGUCCACCCAAGUUGCUUGGUGAAGCACAAUAUGUCCUUUUUGUAGUUAGUAAGGUUCACUAAGUCCACACAAGUUGCUUGGUGAAGCACAAUACAUCCUCUUUAAAAUAAGACAUUUCUUCUAGUAUUCCAUAAGAUAUUAUUCAGAAGUUGUAGUUAGGAAGGUUCACUAAGUCCACCCAAGUUGCUUGGUGAAGCACAAUAUGUCCUUUUUGUAGUUAGUAAGGUCCACUAAGUCCACACAAGUUGCUUGGUGAAGCACAAUACGUUCUCUUUAAAAUAAGCCAUUUCUCCUAGUAUUUCAUAUGAUAUUAUUCAGAAUUUGUAGUUAGGAAGGUUCACUAAGUCCACCCAAGUUGCUUGGUGAAGCACAAUAUGUAUGUCCUUUUUGUAGUUAGUAAGGUUCACUAAGUCCACACAAGUUGCUUGGUGAAGCACAAUACAUCCUCUUUAAAAUAAGCCAUUUCAUAAGAUAUUAUUCAGGAUUUGUAGUUAGGAAGGUUCACUAAGUCCACACAAGUUGCUUGGUGAAGCACAAUACGUCCUUUUUUGUAGUUAGGAAGGUUCACUAAGUCCACACAAGUUGCUUGGUGAAGCACAAUACGUCCUCUUUAAAAUAAGCCUGUGCUCAUUCUGCGAAUGGAGUGACGUGAGAAAAGUCGGAGUCGUAUAUCGAGAUGAGGAAUACCGUCUCGAAUGA